RNAcentral lists this ribosomal RNA (433 nucleotides) under uncultured bacterium. Its description in RNAcentral is "partial 16S ribosomal RNA". It matches the Rfam family "Bacterial small subunit ribosomal RNA", at positions 29 to 507 of the family's 1533-position model. The record is from RNAcentral.
AACGAACGCUGGCGGCAUGCCUAACACAUGCAAGUCGAACGAAACCUCCGGGUCUCGUGUCUCCCGGGUGCGUCCCCGGUUGGAACCUGCCCUUAUGUUCGGAAUAACUCCCCGACCGGGGUGCUAUUACCGGAUAGUAUCUUCGGACCAAUGAUUUAUCGCCUUUGGAUGUGCCCGCGUUGGAUUAGCUCGUUGUUAGGGUAAAAGCCUACCAAGGCGAGGAUGAAUAGCUUGUUUGUGAGGAUGAGUAGCCACACUGAGACUGAGACACGGCACAGACUCCUACGGGAGGCAGCAGGGGGGAAUAUUGGACAAUGGGCGAAGGGCUGAGGCAGCAAUGCCGCGUGAGUUAUGAAGGUCUUAGGGUUGUAAAGCGCAUUUACCUGGGAUGAUAAUGACAGUACCGGGAGAAUAAGCUCCGGCUAACUCCGUG